GUAGUUUUUAAGACUUUUUUUUCUGACAGUAUUAUGUAAUUUUUUAGUGCGGGUAGAUGGGAGUGUCGCUUGUAUGUUACCGUACAGCUGACAUGUAUUUUUGUCUAUUCUUUAUUAUCUCAGUAGUUUCAUGCUAUCUAUGUAUCAUAACCAACCUAUUGCCUAUGAGAAACAUGUAAGAUAAUGUAUUUACAGCCAUUGUUACAAGUUUAUAAUGUAUUUUUCUAUCUUGUUUUAUAUGUAUGUUAUAUAACAUUCAAAAAGAAUUUUUUUCUUGAUUGAGAAAAGGAUACAAAAUGCAAAAUCCACAAUUUUGAUAACUGAAAAUUGCCAAUUGUUUUGCAGUACUUUAUUAUAUUGGGUGUCUUGUCUUUCUUGGGCUUUUAGUUAGCUAAUGAAUGAAUACAUUAGACACUUUCGGGUUUUAGUUGGGAUUUUACAUAGCUUGCAUUUUAAUUCUUUGGUUCUUUGCUGUUUCUAUUAACCCAUAGCAUUAUUUUAAUAAAUGUUAUAAUACCAACCUACUAACUCUGGACUAUGUCUGUUUAUUAACCUUUACGUGUUUAAUUAAAAUAAACAAAUAAAGACAAAGGAAUGUAAAGUCUUGAAUUCCUGGACUAACCCUGAAGAACGUGACCACAGAUAACAUAGCGUGACUUGUUUUUAUGUUGUUUGUCAGCUGACAGUUCCGCACACUACUGUUAAAAUGGCUUUGGUUAUCCUGGGCUUUUACUUCGGGGUGGGGGGGGUAGGUAGGUGCCAGUAGAGACGGGAACAAAGUAGUGUUGGCUUGAGGCGUUCUUCUAGUCUCGCCACUUGCCUUUCAGCCUCUGCAUUACUAAUUCCACCAUUUCUUAUUUUUCCUUCUCCAAAAUAAUCACUGUCUGCUCACAGCAUAAAGAGUAAAGAGAUUCGUCAUAAUGAUUGAUAUACCCGAGAAACCAGUUUGAUUCUUUGUUGAACCAUUUUUUGAAAUUUCUAUAAGUAGAUAAUUUUAUGGUCACAUAAAGCAAAGAAUCUGAUGAUGUCUUACCUUUAUUCAGAUCUGUGUUUUAAUUGGACAUUUUUCCUUUAUAGAGAAGUCUUGAACUGUUUUAGCCAGCUGCUCCUGUUAGAGGGGCUAAACCCAGGUAAAGCCAAAGGCAGAGUGGCUCUGUGUCUCAGGACAGCCCAGAGUAAGCGUUCACAACAACCACAAACCCACCUCUCCUCGUGGAACCCUCAGCAAGAGAUCAAACAGCGUCACUUAGCUUUAUGUCUCACCCUGUUACAAAAUACAGUCAGAAUACAUUAAUAUAAGAAGUUUAAGGGAGAAGAAUAAUUAAUAGCAUUUGAAAAGUUAUAUCAUGGUUUGCAUGCAGGUCAAUUUAAGAAGAUCUAUUAAAUAUCUUCAUGCUUUUCUUGGCUGCAGCCUAGGUAAAUUGACCUCUACUUACCAAUUCUUUAGUUUAACUCUUGAGGUGCAUUUUUAUUUCACAGAUACUGGUAUUUCCUUUUCUGUGAAAUAGUUCUCCUGGAUAAUAAAAAUUCUCAGGAUGAAUUUUUGCAUUUGUAAAUAAUGCUUAUUUUUGUAAAUUACAUUUUAUUUAUUAUAAAGUUCUAAAAUUUGGGGCUAAAAUCAGUCACAUGUUACAGAAGACAUAACACCAAUAUGCUAUUAACCAAUCAAAGUACUACCAUAGUAUAUAUACAUACAUGAAAUAUGUAGAAUAGCGAGAGCAUCUGAUUUAAUCAUAAUUGAGAUGGUUCUUUGGAUCAAACAAAUAUAUUGUUUCUCCGGGGUGGGGGGGGGGGCAAUGCAUUAUUAUUAGGUAGAGCUUUACUAUGCUACUCUCUGUAAAAGUUCACAUUGCCAUACAGCUAAUAUAUAUUCUGUAAAAAUCUGAAGAUGUCAUUCAAGCUGCUAAUAUACAAGUCAUCAUGGCACCAUAUCACUGAAAUUGAUGAAGAAUUUCUAUACAAUUCCACAUUUUCUGAAGCCUGUGAAUGCAGUCUCAUCUCAUUUUCAUUUAAGAGUACUACUUUUACGUAUAAUCAUAUUGCCACCUUUUAUGUUGUAAAAGUCCAUUUUUAAAAGACAAAAAUAACAUUACAAAACCCACUUUUAUUACAGGCUGUAAUAGUAUAAAACAUGGAAUCACCAAAUUGUUAGAAUGAUAAAAUGCCAGAGGCAGUUUAUUGUUUUAUGCUACUAGUACUUGACAAAGCCAUUAAAAGUUAAGCUUUCAGUCGAGAAGUUGGUGAAAUUAAUGUACUUAGUAGUCAAGCAUUUUUUUCUUAGGCAAAAUGUCAGGAAAAAUGUAGCAUGAAAGUCGAUAUUCACAUUACCCCUACCCCUCUGUAGGGCAGGGUCCACCUAGAAGGGUAGUUGAAGCACCCUGUCCGUAAUGCCAAGGUGUGCAUAUGUUUACACAAGAGAGGAGGUGGUUACGUUUCUAAACUACUGGAUAAAUAAUGAUCUAAAUUUUCUAGUACACCAAAAGCAGACAACAGGUUUAAAUUGCUCAUUACCAAAUCAAUCUUUUCCUUACCAGCUAAGUCUAACACGUUUAUAAAUGACAGUCUAAGGCUUCUUCAGUUUGGGAGGAGGGGUCUGUUUGCCUGUUUGGAAUAAGCUGUCUGUCAUUCCUUGAUAACAAUUAGCAACUGUAGUAUUUCCAGCAAGUGAUUUUUAGUAGAAAGAAAUGUAUUGCUAAAUUAGAAUCCAUUAUUUAAUAGCAAAAGUUACCCAGAAAACUUUUUGGACUCAAACUUUCUAAGUACAUAAGGUAAUUUUUAAACAUCAUCACAAGUUUCUUACUACCUUUAUUUAAAAUGGAAAAAUAAUUCCUAUUAUAGACAAUUUUACCUUUAGAAAUAUUCAUUUGGUACACACAUGUAAUUUUAUCUGUGGUUUCUUUUAACAUAAUAUUAUCUAAGUUGAACUGCCUUUGCUAUGAAGAGAUGUAACAGAAUUAUAUGCCUACCUGGUACUCAAUGCUGAAUCAAACUGGUUCACCUAAGCGUAGUACUCUCCUUUCUGUGUCUCUGCUGCACUAAUUGCAGGGGGUGGGAGAGAAGGAGGAAGAAUGGAUUCUCAGGAGAAGUAGUUGGUAGGUGCAGCAGAUAGCAACACAACGUGGAUUUCUCAUUGCUUACAGUUUUGCCGUCCCUUCGUGGCAAAAGACACCACACUGUGGGAAAAAGCACAGCUCCCAUGGUAAACAAUUUAUACCUUUUUUUAAAAAUGCUAUUAUCGAGAAAUUUUGAUUACCAAAUACAUCUUUUGUGGUUUAUAUUGUAGUGGUGUGUAUAAAACACUUAGAAUUUUAUUUGUGGAAAUUGUACAUAGAAAAGUUGAAAUAGGUCUUCCCAAAUCCUAUGUGAAUGGAGAACCACGUUAAGACUGUACAUGACGUGCAAUAAACCAACUGGAAAAAGUG
Balaenoptera musculus (blue whale) is the source of this 3422-nucleotide long non-coding RNA. Lineage: Eukaryota; Metazoa; Chordata; Mammalia; Artiodactyla; Balaenopteridae. The record is from Ensembl.